Long non-coding RNA from Penaeus monodon (black tiger shrimp), 333 nucleotides. RefSeq lists it as uncharacterized. The transcript is spliced from 3 exons. Lineage: Eukaryota; Metazoa; Arthropoda; Malacostraca; Decapoda; Penaeidae. The record is from RefSeq and is a predicted model, not a curated record.
CCGACUCUCGUUGAGUUUUGGAGAGAUAAGUACUUUGGGGCCAUUGAUGUUUUAGGUGUGAUAGUGGCGAGAUCAGGACGAGUGAAGGGCUAUUCAUAGUAAAGCCAAUAUAAGGUUUCGUAAGUGAGAUUGAGGAAACUUUCGGCAGGCAUGAUCAGGAAAUGAAGUACUAGGAAGUGUGUUUGGGCUUAAAGGCACUAUCAGGCUUCCCACACCACUUUCCAGUCAUCCCGCAUAGUGCCUUAGGUUGGAACUGGCGUGUAUACUGAUAGCAAUAAUGGAGAAGAAGUAUAUGGAAGAUAUUGACACAAUUUUUACAUGAUAUGAAAUGGA